This 343-nucleotide long non-coding RNA is filed under the name Mizuhopecten yessoensis (Yesso scallop). RNAcentral describes it as "uncharacterized LOC110461068, transcript variant X1". Lineage: Eukaryota; Metazoa; Mollusca; Bivalvia; Pectinida; Pectinidae. The record is from RNAcentral.
CUAGCGGCGUGUGACGUACGUGUGGUCAGUAAGCGCGUGGUACAGAGACUGGACCGUUGGCGGGCCGGGAUGGACCUAUCAUAUAUCGGUUAAGAUGACUGCUUUGGAGCUUGCCAAUUUAAAGACCUGUUCAUCAUUUUGUGUUUGGCAUGACUGACAACAAUAGGAAUUUAUCUUCUUAGGAAUGGGACGUCAUACUAAAAAAGAAAAAGCAGAAGAAAGGAAGAGAAAGAGGAAGGUACGAAGGAGUCAUGCUAAUGUAUUGACAACAGCAGAUACAAAGUGUGAAGUAACCAGGCCAGCAAGUCCCUUCAGUGUAAGUGAUCAGGACAGUACAUGUCCA